This 253-nucleotide ribosomal RNA is filed under the name uncultured bacterium. Its description in RNAcentral is "partial 16S ribosomal RNA". It matches the Rfam family "Bacterial small subunit ribosomal RNA", at positions 524 to 776 of the family's 1533-position model. The record is from RNAcentral.
UACGUAGGUGGCGAGCGUUGUCCGGAUUUAUUGGGCGUAAAGCGCGCGCAGGCGGUUGUCUAAGUCUGCUGUGAAAUCUCCCGGCUCAACUGGGAGGGGGCGGCGGAGACUGGGCGACUGGAGGGACCUAGAGGCCGGUGGAAUUCCCGGUGUAGUGGUGAAAUUCGUAGAUAUUCGGAAGAACACCAGUGGCGAAGGCGACUUACUGGACACAUAUUGACGCUGAGGUGCGAAAGCGUGGGGAGCAAACAGG